Molecule: long non-coding RNA, 874 nt
Filed under: Citrus sinensis (sweet orange)
Lineage: Eukaryota; Viridiplantae; Streptophyta; Magnoliopsida; Sapindales; Rutaceae
Description: long non-coding RNA (CSIN_LNC004605)
Source: RNAcentral
GAAUAUUUGGCACUUUUUAAUUGUCAAAUAUUCCUUUAUUUGACAGUUUUUAAAUAUCAAUUAAUCUCUUUUUUGUUAUAGUGAUAUCAUAUUCUAUGGGGCUUAAUCCUAACAACAGGUUUAGGAGCUAGUUUCACUUGUAUUUUUUUCUUCAUUCUCUUCUUAUUGUUAUCACUAGGUUCUUCAUCCUUCUCAAUCGUGGUAUCACUAAUCUCAUCUAUGUUAAACCUAAACAAGUCAAACUAUUUAAAUAUAGGUCCUUCUCAGUUCUCUCAGAAUCUACUUCUGUUUUACUUUAUACUAUUUCCACACUAGAUUCUCUGUCAUCAUCAUCUCUAAAAGCCUGAUCCGAGGACUAUUAAGGCAGCACAUUAUGCAGAGCAUGAGAAAAUAGAGCUUGGGUCAACUCAAGUCAAACGAUCAGAAGCUAUUAAGCAAUGCAGCAGUCCAAACUAACAGCUCAGCACAGUUAGUUAAAGUUUGUUAUGACUCACACAAUGUGUACCGAACAAAUGAUUAGCUGGAUUUAAUUCUUAGUUAGUUAUUGAUUAGUGAGUAUAAAUAUAUGUGAUGUAAUCAUCUUUGUUAUGGAAUGAAAGUUUCGGAAAUCAGAAAAUUAUUUUCUCUAAGAUUUUCUCUCAAGCCAAACACUUUGUUUCUCAUUUUCUUCAUGGUAUUAGAGCCAUAAUCAUGGUGAACUCAAAUACAACUCAUUCAAAUCCAAAUUUUCUCAAUCAAAAUCAAGCUUCAAAUGUUUUAUUCACAUUCACUACUCCUGUCAAGCUUGAUCGAUCCAAUUAUUUGCUCUGGCGCAAACAAGUUCUCACAUUUAUAAGAGGCAAUCGACUUGAACAUUAUAUUCUGGAAACCAAGC